This is a small nucleolar RNA of Acomys russatus (golden spiny mouse), 143 nucleotides long. RefSeq annotates it as small nucleolar RNA SNORA48. The transcript has a single exon. Lineage: Eukaryota; Metazoa; Chordata; Mammalia; Rodentia; Muridae. The record is from RefSeq and is a predicted model, not a curated record.
ACCCCCUGGCAAUGGCAAAGAAACACCUUGUCGGUGAUGCUGCUCUUACAUCAGUCAGGGGCAAAGCAGAGGGCAUGCCUUUGUUUAGCUUAGCUUGAUGCCUGGCUUGGUGGCCAAAGCUCUCUUAUGCCUAGGACACAUAA